ACAAACUUGGUCAUUUAGAGGAAGUAAAAGUCGUAACAAGGUUUCCGUAGGUGAACCUGCGGAAGGAUCAUUACUGAAUGUCGCCUUGAUGGGUUGUUGCUGGCUCUGAAAACCAGAGCAGGUGCACGCCUGUCUUGACUUCUAUUCAUCCACCUGUGCACCUUUUGUAGUCUUUUUGGGGGCUGGGGAAAGCGGCGGCUCAGGCUGCUUGUUGGAACCUCCCACUGGAGGCUAUGUUUUUUCUACAUAUACCAUUUAGAAUGUAACAGAAUGUUGUCAAUGGGCACUUGUGCCUAUAUAAAAUCUAUACAACUUUCAGCAACGGAUCUCUUGGCUCUCGCAUCGAUGAAGAACGCAGC
This 359-nucleotide unclassified non-coding RNA is filed under the name uncultured fungus. Its description in RNAcentral is "partial contains small subunit ribosomal RNA, internal transcribed spacer 1, and 5.8S ribosomal RNA". The stretch from base 1 to 73 matches the Rfam family "Eukaryotic small subunit ribosomal RNA", at positions 1759 to 1831 of the family's 1831-position model. Lineage: Eukaryota; Fungi. The record is from RNAcentral.